This 486-nucleotide ribosomal RNA is filed under the name uncultured bacterium. Its description in RNAcentral is "partial 16S ribosomal RNA". It matches the Rfam family "Bacterial small subunit ribosomal RNA", at positions 28 to 507 of the family's 1533-position model. The record is from RNAcentral.
GAUGAACGCUGGCGGCGUGCCUAAUAUAUGCAAGUCGAACGCUGGAGAUCUAGCUUGCUAGAUCGAAGGAGUGGCGAACGGGUGAGUAAUACAUAAGCAACCUACCCACGAAGACUGGGAUAAUCUCUGGAAACGGGGACUAAUACCGGAUAGGUAAUCGGAAGGCAUCUUCUGGUUAUUAAAGGUUAAAAACACUGGUGGAUGGGCUUAUGGCGCAUUAGUUAGUUGGUGAGGUAACGGCCCACCAAGACGAUGAUGCGUAGCCGGCCUGAGAGGGUGAACGGCCACAUUGGGACUGAGACACGGCCCAGACUCCUACGGGAGGCAGCAGUAGGGAAUUUUCGGCAAUGGGGGCAACCCUGACCGAGCAACGCCGCGUGAGUGAAGACGGCCUUCGGGGUGUAAAGCUCUGUUGUAAGGGAAGAACGGUAGAUAGAGAAUAUCUAAGUGACGGUACCUUACCAGAAAGCCACGGCUAACUACGUG